UUUUUUUCCUUUCGGCGAGCGCUUCGGCGUCUCAGGUAGUUUUGGCGUUGGUCGACCUCUUCGCCGCGGUGUCUCUGCGUGAGAGCGAGCGUGUGGCGGCGUGCCUGCGCGUGCUGGCUGGGGCCGCCGGGCUAAGCAAGAGGGAGCGGAGCGGGGCGGUACCUCUUCCGCGAGCAGCUCGCCGAGCUCCGGCGCCACCGCGCGGAGCUCCGGCAGCGGCGCAGGCCCCGGAGCCGUCGCGCGCUGAAGCCCCCGCGGAGGCGCAGCAGCCUAGGCCGCUAGGACCGGAUGCUGCUGAAGCAGCGGCUCCGGAAGCCGGCGGAGUUGCGGCGCCGGCUCUUCUAUCCGCCCUGCCACGAGCUCCAGUGGUUGCAGGAGCGCCUCCGGAAGCGGCAGCGGUUCCUGGAGGAGUAGGACCGGUUCGUCAUGGGCUUUGGACGUAGUUACCGAUUACGCGUCCUAAAGGAGUUCGGAGAUGUACUAUGAUAUCGCUUUCGUUGACGAUACUGCCUUCCUUCCUCCGGGCUGAUAAAAUUAGUAUACUUCUCACAACGACUGUCAGAGCCGCGGGACCGAACCCAACGUAAGAAUCCCUUUCCGACGCCGUACUCAAAGGGUUGUCGUGUACAACUUCUUUCGACCGUCUACCGGCUCAAGAUAUUAUUGUUCUAAGAACAACUCAUGUUCUUGUUUCUGCGACUGGUGCAACUCACCCGAUUUCGAAACUUCCUCGAGAUGUACGGACCGAACUCCCUAAUAUAAUUCUUUAUAAUAGGAGAACCCGGACACACCCCAGGACGACCUACACGUGGUGGUUUCCGACGACGAGGUUGUAGUUUUCGGGGUCGCCGAUUCCCAGGAGGAGGUGGACGACGUGGUAGCCGAGGAGAAAAAUCGUGUCUGUUUAGAGGUUUUAGAAGCGUCGGAUUCGUUCCUUACCGUCGACACAAAGUUCUCUAGCCACCCCCGUUUCUACACUGAAGUCCCGACGCUUUCCAAUGACUACUGUACUUCCGAUUUUUGGCACGACUAUCUUCACCACAACACUGGUCAUCACGACGACGGGGACGAGGACGCUUCUGAAGAGCACGUCCUCGGAAACGGAGGUUCUGACCUUGGGGUUUUGACCUCGAAGUCUACCCAGCGUUUACCCACUAGCUUUUAGUUCAACCAUCUUUCCUGGAACGAUAACUACUCACACUAAGAUUUGUCAGAUAGAUACACAAACCUACGUUCCUAAGGCAGGAAGUUCAUUUACCAUUUCAUUUGUUAUAGUGGCAGCUGUUUACGUGGUUUAAACCUUAACAAAAGUUCCUACAACAUCGUCGAAAACUCCAACAGUUGACGUUGCCGCAACUCCACGUUACAGUCCCGUUGCGCGGCUGUUAUAGUUAGCUGUUGUGUCGACCCACAGUCAAUAUGAACUUGUUUCUCAGUGACCCGCGAAGGUAAUGAAGCCGAUUUAGGUCACUUUACUUACAUAACCAAGGAUCGCUGCUCUGACUACCGCUGACCCACCUCGUAGGUAACGGCGUCGUCAUGUAGGUAGAAAAGCUCCUGCCCGUCAAGUGGUGUAGGGGUCAAAGAGUAAGGCCGCGUAUUUAUUUAGGCUACUAUAGAAGGAAAAAACACACACACACACCGACAAACAAACAAGCUACGACGGAAACGUAACAAGAAAAAAGAAGAUUCUACCACCACACGACUCUCAACAACAUCGAGAACAAGCCAACAACUGAAGAAGACUUCGGGUAACAAAACGGACGUCUAACAACAAAGACAACGUAACGGGUCAACACAGGUAUGCGGUUGUUUAUGUAAACAAGUGUGGCAUAGACUCAACGUGAUAACUGUUACGUUUUGGUGUAUUGUCUUCUUGUGUUCAACGAACGCAGU
This 1896-nucleotide ribosomal RNA is filed under the name Triticum aestivum (bread wheat). RNAcentral's name for it is "partial small subunit ribosomal RNA". The record is from RNAcentral. Lineage: Eukaryota; Viridiplantae; Streptophyta; Magnoliopsida; Poales; Poaceae.